UCCCAACAGCUCAGUCGCUAGAGCAUGAGACUCCUAAUCUCAGGGUCAUGGAUUUGAGUCCUACGUUGGGCA
This is a non-coding RNA of Podarcis lilfordi (Lilford's wall lizard), 72 nucleotides long. The record is from the annotation of a GenBank genome assembly. NCBI's taxonomy places the organism in Eukaryota, Metazoa, Chordata, Lepidosauria, Squamata, Lacertidae.